AUUGAACGCUGGCGGCAUGCCUUACACAUGCAAGUCGAACGGCAGCACGGGGGCAACCCUGGUGGCGAGUGGCGAACGGGUGAGUAAUGCAUCGGAACGUGUCCUCUUGUGGGGGAUAACCAGUCGAAAGACUGGCUAAUACCGCAUAAGAUCGAGAGAUGAAAGCGGGGGACCGCAAGGCCUCGCGCGAGAGGAGCGGCCGAUGCCCGAUUAGCUAGUUGGCGGGGUAAAAGCCCACCAAGGCGACGAUCGGUAGCUGGUCUGAGAGGACGACCAGCCACACUGGGACUGAGACACGGCCCAGACUCCUACGGGAGGCAGCAGUGGGGAAUUUUGGACAAUGGGGGAAACCCUGAUCCAGCCAUGCCGCGUGUGUGAAGAAGGCCUUCGGGUUGUAAAGCACUUUCGGACGGAACGAAAUCGCGCGGGCGAACACCUCGCGUGGAUGACGGUACCGUAAGAAGAAGCACCGGCUAACUACGUG
Molecule: ribosomal RNA, 484 nt
Filed under: uncultured organism
Description: bacterial SSU rRNA
Rfam family: Bacterial small subunit ribosomal RNA
Source: RNAcentral